RNAcentral lists this ribosomal RNA (497 nucleotides) under uncultured bacterium. RNAcentral describes it as "partial 16S ribosomal RNA". It matches the Rfam family "Bacterial small subunit ribosomal RNA", at positions 28 to 507 of the family's 1533-position model. The record is from RNAcentral.
GAUGAACGCUGGCGGCGUGCCUAAUACAUGCAAGUCGAGCGAACAGACGAGGAGCUUGCUCCUUUGACGUUAGCGGCGGACGGGUGAGUAACACGUGGGUAACCUACCUAUAAGACUGGGAUAACUUCGGGAAACCGGAGCUAAUACCGGAUAAUAUUUCGAACCGCAUGGUUCGAUAGUGAAAGAUGGCUCUGCUAUCACUUAUAGAUGGACCUGCGCCGUAUUAGCUAGUUGGUAAGGUAACGGCUUACCAAGGCAACGAUACGUAGCCGACCUGAGAGGGUGAUCGGCCACACUGGAACUGAGACACGGUCCAGACUCCUACGGGAGGCAGCAGUAGGGAAUCGUCCGCAAUGGGCGAAAGCCUGACGGAGCAACGCCGCGUGAGUGAUGAAGGUCUUCGGAUCGUAAAACUCUGUUAUUAGGGAAGAACAAACGUGUAAGUAACUGUGCACGUCUUGACGGUACCUAAUCAGAAAGCCACGGCUAACUACGUG